UUGAAAAGAACUUUGAAGAGAGAGUUCAAGAGUACGUGAAACCGUUCAGGGGUAAACCUAAGAAACCCAAAAGAUCGAACGGGGAGAUUCAUCGUCAGCGACGUUGGCUUCGCGUCGGUGGGCGAUGUCGCGCGGGGCCUCGCGGCUCGCAGCGCUGACACGCUGCCGUGCGUCGAUGUCCGACGUUCGUCGUCGUGCACUUCUCCCCUAGUAGAACGUCGCGACCCGCUGGGUGUCUGUCUACGGCCCGGGUGCGGUGACUGACGCGUCGCCGGUAAAACGGUACGCGUCAAACCCUCGGUCGCCCGGCCGGCUGCCCGGCGGUACACGCAAGGUAUCAGGCCGCAGAUCUCUCUCUUCCUCGGGAGAGAGAGUAUGCGUCGAGGCCGUCGCAAGCGCGCGCCACGGUACACGGAGGCUUACGGACCUAGUGCCGUCCCCGGUCCUGGCCCGCUGUUGGUCGUACGGUUAACCUUCGACAGGCCUACAAACGUCCACCCCCCUCACGGGGGGGAGACCGAUACCGGUCGGCGACGCUACUGCUUUGGGUACUCUUAGGACCCGUCUUGAAACACGGACCAAGGAGUCUAACAUGUACGCGAGUCAUUGGGACUAGCGAGUGAAACCUAAAGGCGUAAUGAAAGUGAAGGUCGUCCCUGGUUGUCGACCGAGGGAGGAUGGGCCGCGUCUCGACGCGGCUCCGCACUCCCGGGGCGUCUCGUUCUCAUCGCGAGAAGAGGCGCACCCAGAGCGUACACGUUGGGACCCGAAAGAUGGUGAACUAUGCCUGGUCAGGACGAAGUCAGGGGAAACCCUGAUGGAGGUCCGUAGCGAUUCUGACGUGCAAAUCGAUCGUCGGAACUGGGUAUAGGGGCGAAAGACUAAUCGAACCAUCUAGUAGCUGGUUCCCUCCGAAGUUUCCCUCAGGAUAGCUGGCACUCGGCCGUUCCGCACGGAACGCGCGCGAGUCUCAUCUGGUAAAGCGAAUGAUUAGAGGCCUUGGGGCCGAAACGACCUCAACCUAUUCUCAAACUUUAAAUGGGUGAGAUCUCUGGCUUUCUUGAACUAUGAAGCCACGAGCAUCUCGGAUCAGAGUGCCAAGUGGGCCAUUUUUGGUAAGCAGAACUGGCGCUGUGGGAUGAACCAAACGCAGAGUUAAGGCGCCCAACUCGACGCUCAUGGGACACCAUGAAAGGCGUUGGUUGCUUAAGACAGCAGGACGGUGGCCAUGGAAGUCGGAAUCCGCUAAGGAGUGUGUAACAACUCACCUGCCGAAGCAACUAGCCCUGAAAAUGGAUGGCGCUGAAGCGUCGAGCCUAUACUCUGCCGUCAGCGGCAAGUGGGGCGGUCGCGUGGUACUUUUGUCUACGCGUCGCCACGAAGCCCUGACGAGUAGGAGGGUCGCGGCGGUGUGCGCAGAAGGGUCU
RNAcentral lists this ribosomal RNA (1427 nucleotides) under Strumigenys sp. 1 RL-2020. RNAcentral's name for it is "partial 28S ribosomal RNA". It matches the Rfam family "Eukaryotic large subunit ribosomal RNA", at positions 364 to 1413 of the family's 3401-position model. The record is from RNAcentral. Lineage: Eukaryota; Metazoa; Arthropoda; Insecta; Hymenoptera; Formicidae.